Mirounga angustirostris (Northern elephant seal) is the source of this 6102-nucleotide RNA transcript. It is a transcript of the gene named prostaglandin E receptor 3, with no coding region annotated. The transcript is spliced from 5 exons. The record is from RefSeq and is a predicted model, not a curated record. NCBI's taxonomy places the organism in Eukaryota, Metazoa, Chordata, Mammalia, Carnivora, Phocidae.
AACUUGCCUGGGGUCUGGAAGCGCAGGGAGACAUUUUAGCCCGGGCCGCCCGCGGCCGCUCCUCCGGCAAAGAAGAGGAGGAGGCGCGGCGCAGCGAAGGGAGGACUGCCUAGGCGUCCCGUCCGGCCCGGAGUCGGAGCACGGGGUCCUCCGGGGAGUUUCCAGGCCAGGCGGCCAGGACAGCGGUCACGCUGCAGCCAAGAGACGCGCGCAGUUGCUUCUCCAUCCUCCUCCCGGCGCACUUGUGCCCACACCCCCGGGCGCCCCGCCCUCCGCCGCCUUAUAGAAGGGGCCCGCACCUCGCGCGCCGCGGAGCUCCGGGCUUCCCCGAGCAGACGGCGCGGCUGCCUGAAAGCCCAGGCGCCACGGCCAGAGGAAAGAAGUGAGGCGGCGGCUACGCCCCGCAUCAUGGAGGGCAGCCCAGCCCUAGCCCCAGUCCCGGUGGACACCGACCUUCGCCGCCGCCCGCGCCCCGUCCGCCAGCUCCCGCUGCUGCUCUCCGGGCGCCGUCCUCUCCUCACCUCGAAGCCAACAUGAAGGAGACCCGGGGCGACGGGAGCGCCCCUUUCUGCACGCGCCUCAACCACUCCUACCCGGGCAUGUGGGCGCCCGAGCGCUCCGCCGCCGCGCAGGGCAACCUCACGGGGUCCCGGGCCCCCCGCGAGGACUGCGGCUCGGUGUCGGUAGCCUUCCCGAUCACCAUGUUGAUCACCGGCUUCGUGGGCAACGCGCUGGCCAUGCUGCUCGUGUCGCGGAGCUACCGGCGGCGGGAGAGCAAGCGCAAGAAGUCGUUCCUGCUGUGCAUCGGCUGGCUAGCGCUCACAGACCUGGUCGGGCAACUGCUCACCAGCCCGGUGGUCAUCGUCGUGUACCUGUCCAAGCAGCGCUGGGAGCAUCUCGACCCGUCGGGGAGGCUGUGCACCUUCUUCGGGCUGACCAUGACUGUCUUCGGGCUCUCCUCGCUCUUCAUUGCCAGCGCCAUGGCCGUCGAGCGGGCGCUGGCCAUCCGGGCGCCGCACUGGUACGCGAGCCACAUGAAGACGCGCGCCACCCGCGCCGUGCUGCUCGGCGUGUGGCUGGCGGUGCUCGCCUUCGCCCUGUUACCGGUGCUGGGCGUAGGCCAGUACACCAUCCAGUGGCCCGGGACGUGGUGCUUCAUUAGCACCGGGGGCGGGGGCAACGGGACGAGCUCUUCGCACAACUGGGGCAACAUCUUCUUCGCCUCCACCUUUGCCUUCCUGGGGCUCUCGGCGCUGGCCGUUACCUUCGCCUGUAACCUGGCCACCAUUAAGGCCCUGGUGUCCCGCUGCCGGGCCAAGGCCACGGUGUCGCAGUCCGGCGCCCAGUGGGGUCGGAUCACCACCGAGACGGCCAUCCAACUCAUGGGGAUCAUGUGCGUGCUGUCGGUCUGCUGGUCGCCGUUGCUGAUCAUGAUGUUGAAAAUGAUCUUCAAUCAGACAUCAGUUGAGCACUGCAAGACUCACACUGAAAAGCUGAAAGAAUGCAACUUCUUCUUAAUAGCUGUUCGCCUGGCUUCACUGAACCAGAUCUUGGAUCCCUGGGUUUAUCUGCUGCUAAGAAAGAUCCUUCUUCGAAAGUUUUGUCAGGGAUCACAAUGGUGACUAAGAACUCUCUCGGUCUCAGGAUAUGGGUUGCAAAUUCCAACAAAUCAGGCACCACACAAACAACUAUGCAUCCAGCUCCACCUCCUUACCCCACCAGUGCUCCUCAACCUUGAUGUGGAGUGACCAGUUGGAAAGAUAAUGAAAGAACGGAGCUGACUUUUUAUUGAAAUUCCUGCUUCCCUGAGUUUGUGUGUUUCUUCCCACCUGAGAAGGAGAAUUUAUGUUUGAUUUGGAUUGUUUCUUCAUUUUCAUCUUUUUAAAAAAUUUAAUGUUUUUUCUUGCCAGUAAUACCCACUGAAAGCAGGUUUAUGAUCAUAAUUUGUGCCUUUGAGUGUUAAAUUGGCUUCUGGGACUAGGUUUUGAGGACAUUUUUAAGAAGCUGGGGGUGAUUUCACAGAUAAUGAUUGGUGAAAAAGUGAGAAAAAGAAAAACCCAAUUUCUAGGAGUUUUCCCGCAACUUCAAACCUUUGCCUGAAUCUCAACCAGUGUGGACAUCUUUGCAUUUUAUGGUAGUUUUGAUUUUAUAAUGAGUUUGAAAAAAUCAGUAUAAGCUUUCAACAGUGAAAAGUCAACAUUUUGAGAGAAAGAAUUCAAUUAAUAGGACAUAAACUUUAAUGGGAUAGAAGAGGGUGCCGGAUGGAGGCAAGAGGGCAUCGUGACAAAAGAUACUUAUGCCAGAUGUGUGAUGAAUGUAUUGGAGAUACCGUGUCCCUCUGGGCUAAGCUUGGAACUAAACAUCUUUAGGUCUGUAUUCUGGUUAUGUGUCACUGUGUAACUCAGCAAUCAAUGUAAGUGUUAUUUGUCUUUGAAGACUGAAAGGAGUGGAUGCAGCUAAGGGUUUUCCUGAAAUGUCACAGGAAACAAUACUGAGGUUACAUGAUUAGCUGUUGUGUUAGAGCAAUAAAAAUCCAGGCACAGCCCUCUGAUUUACCACUAUCUGUUCAGGAUUUCUUAAACUUUCUUCCCACAUGGCAUACAAAAAGGUAAAAUUAAUAAGUGACAUAGUUAUUCAAUAUCAAAUUACUUUUUGAGAAAUAAAGAAAUCUAUUUUAUCUGAAUUGAAAUGAGAAACUCUAUGAGCUUUUAACAAAUACUUUUGAGUCAUUGGAUGUCUUUCAGCUAAUGUCCUUACCUGUUUGUAAAUUCAACCAAUCUUUCUUUCUCUUGCCUCUCUUCCCCAACCCCGCACCUUCCUCCUUCUUUUUCCUCUCCUCAUUCACUUAAUUCAACACAUAUUUAUUGAGUGUCCUUCUUUAAGCACUGUACUAAGGGCCAUGCUGUCACCUACAAGGACAUCUUAGGAAGACACGAUAAUAUGGUAUCAGUAGUUUUGCCAUAGGAGCAUAUACUGCGGCUCCACCGUCCUCCCUGCCAACUAGAUUAAACCAAAACAGUGAGUCAUUCCUUUCAAUAGUUGAGUCAGUUGCGGGUUAGCUGGAAACCACAAUUAUUUUCACUCAAACUUGUAUUUUAAACGGCUUUAUGUAACUCACACACAGAUGAUGCCAGACACAAUCCCUUUAUUCAGGUUUAAAUUCAGUGAGUUUUAUUGAGCAAGUAGAAUUUGCCAGCAAUCAUAAGAAUGCCCAUGCUUCUGUUACUGCUAUCUGCCCAUCAUCCAUCUAUGUGGUUGUCUAGUUGCCAUAUAUUUUUUUUAUUUGUACAAAAGAGGCCUAAGGCUGCAGAGGGCUUGCCCAACGUCACAUGGCUAAUAUAAGUAAGAAUUUAGAUCUAGUGUAAGUUCUUUGAUUCCAGGUUUAUUUUCUUUCUAUAGUACAGUGGGGAUGUGAGAUCUGUUUCAAUAAUAUUCCAUUUCUAAGACAAUGUGAUGUAGUAAUAGAAGCAUGGGUUUUGGAAUGAAACUUGGAUUUAAAUCUGGCUGUGUCACUCACUAACUCCAUGACUUUGAGAAAUUUAAUUGAUUGCAUUGAAUCUCAAUGAAUUAAUCUAUAAAUUAAAGAUAAUAAUACUUACCUGUGGGGUUAUUGUGAUAAUGUAUGUAAAGUGAGUCUAACACAGUAGAUACUCAGUAAGUACUGACUGCAAUAAAUUCUUUAUCCAGACUUAUCUCCAACUGUAUAAUAUGAGUUCUCAAUUUCAACUACAAACUGGCUUCCUGAUUGUGUAGGCUUACAUGUCAUGGACAGAAUCAACUUCAAAUCUCUUGAUGCUGUUCUUGCUUAUAAUACCUCAUGAUUAUUUUUCCCCAUGUAAAACCUACACUUCUCCCACAUGUACAAAUUUGACCUUGCCCUUGGGUCUUGAACAGUUAAAGUAUCUUUUUUCUCUUCUUAACUCUAUGCUACUCUGAAGUUACACAGUGAUCAUUUUGAUGAUUAUUGUAUUAUUCUUCAAAUAUUUUCAUUAUGUAUGUCUUUUUCCCUUAACAAAAAUUCUAUUUCAUGGUGGACAGGACCCUUUUCUUAUAUUUUCUUCAUAGAUCUGUUAGCACUAGUACAGUAUUUGACACCAAGAAAGAUGCUCCUUAUUUGGUAAAUUCUCAACAAAAGUAACAUUUAUGUACAAUAUUAGCAGUUGCAAAUUUAAAUGAAUGUGAUAGAAAGCCCUUUAUUUCCAUGUUGCUAUUUAACUUGGGAAAUUUUAUGUUAAACUUUUCUGAUUUAAAAAUGUUAAUCCAGGGGCACCUGGGUGGCUCAGUCAUUAAGCGUCUGCCUUCGGCUCAGGUCAUGAUCCCAGGGUCCUGGGAUCGAGCCCCACAUCAAGCCUCGCAUCGAGCCCCGCAUCGAGCCCUGCAUCGAGCCCCACAUCAAGACCCACAUCGGCUCCCUGCUCCGCAGGAAGCCUGCUCCUCCCUCUCCCACUCCCCCUGCUUGUGUUCCCUCUCUCACUGUCAAAUAAAUUAAUAAAAUCUAAAAUAAAAUGCUAAUCCAGGCAGAAUAAUCACUUGUGGUUUAACAUGAUAAUGUUUAUUAAAAUUCUAUAGGUGAAUGUCAUAAGGUAAUAAAAUGAUUGGAAAAGUUUGAAAAAUAAUGACUAUUUGGUAAAGAUAUUUCUCACAUAAUUAGGAAUGAUCUUUGUCCAAUUAGUUUGAAAUCUGAUGGAAAGACAGUAUAUGUAUGUAUAAAAUACUUUUGAAGCUUUAAUUUUUAAUCCACAGAAAUGUAUCCAUUUCAUUAAAUUCACCCAAAAUAAUAAGUUCUGUAACAUAUGUUCUCAAAUAUUCAGGAUCAUGAUUCAGCAACACACUGAUUUUUAACAAGUGCUUUCCUCCUCAUUUUUUAAAUUAUCUUGCAUAAACAUUGAUUCUCAUAAUUACGUAAUGAGGUUACAAUGAGAAUAGAACUAGCCCUCAAAAUAAAAUGAAUUUCUGCCAAAGAGUUAGAGAAACGGGGCUUGAUCUACAGUUUUAUUGUAAUUAUAGUACCUACUGUAGAGCUCUGUGGAAUACAUAUGCAAAAAAAAUCCGUGAUAUUAAUAUGCUUUGCAGCUGAGUUGUAUAGACUUGGUUCUUGACUACAUAUAAUAUAUCGUGUAAUUUUAGACCUGUGACUUUUGUGUUGGAAGAACGAAUUCCUGCCUACUCCCACCUCCCUCCGAUUACAGAUUUCCUACAGCACCACCACAAGCCAAUGUGAAAUAAACAAACAAACAAAAAUAUACACCCAACUAUGCUGCCCUCAGGAGAGGGUAUUGUGAAGAGGAGUGGCAUAUAAGGGAAUGGCAUACAGGGAAUAUUAGGGUUGGAAAAUUAGGCUUCUAUGAGAAGCUACAUUUAUCCAAAUUCUCCCAAGGAGGGAGGAGAAAACUAGAGUCAUUAUGUUUUAUAUGUAAAUGUGUAUAUGUGUCUUACAGUUAUAAGUGGAUUUUGGUCCAUGAAAUAUAUGAAAAUUCAGACAGAGUUGAAUUACUCCACAUUUUUACUGUCUAUAAGAAUGACUUUUUAAAAUUAAAUAAUAGAACCCAGAUUAUAAAGGAGCCAUAUAAACUAUUUAAGAGAAAAAAAUUUUUCAACAUCUUCAGUAGUUGGAGGCACACUCAAAAGAAACUUAUUGCUAAGAUAAUUAUUCAGGUACCUUAAGGAUCUGUAUAAGAUAUACUUAGCUUGAUAUACUUUUAAUGAUGAUGAAUACUUCAAUGUUUAAUUGUUGUCUUAAAAAUAUUUGUGCUCAUAUUUUUCAUUAAUCCAGGCUUUUACUGAAUAUUUUGUUAAUUCAAAAUAUCUCUAAGCUCAUCCCAUGGAUAAAAGUAUUUCUCCAUUUCAUUCAGGUUCUAAGGCUUUAUUUUUUUUAUUAUCUGAAGUGCCUUUUUAUAUAAAAAUAAUUUGUACAAAAUGUAUUUUUAAGAGCUUUUAUACUUUGUUUUAACAAAAUUCUCAAUCACAUUGUAAGCUCCUUGUGGGCAGGACCCAUGUUUAUGUUUUAUGUAUCUCUUGUACCUACAGAGCCUAGAACAGUACUAAGCUCACAGAAAUUACUCAAUAAAAACUUGAUGGAGAGGCUAAGUGGCCAGACUGCAA